UACGUAGGGUGCAAGCGUUGUCCGGAAUUAUUGGGCGUAAAGAGCUCGUAGGCGGUCUGUCGCGUCGAAUGUGAAAACCCGGGGCUCAACCCCGGGCCUGCAUUCGAUACGGGCAGACUAGAGUUCGGUAGGGGAGUCUGGAAUUCCUGGUGUAGCGGUGAAAUGCGCAGAUAUCAGGAGGAACACCGGUGGCGAAGGCGGGACUCUGGGCCGAUACUGAUGCUGAGGAGCGAAGGCGUGGGGAGCGAACAGG
RNAcentral lists this ribosomal RNA (253 nucleotides) under uncultured bacterium. RNAcentral describes it as "partial 16S ribosomal RNA". It matches the Rfam family "Bacterial small subunit ribosomal RNA", at positions 524 to 776 of the family's 1533-position model. The record is from RNAcentral.